Molecule: ribosomal RNA, 507 nt
Filed under: uncultured bacterium
Lineage: Bacteria
Description: partial 16S ribosomal RNA
Rfam family: Bacterial small subunit ribosomal RNA
Source: RNAcentral
GAUGAACGCUAGCUACAGGCUUAACACAUGCAAGUCGAGGGGAAACGACAUCGAAAGCUUGCUUUUGAUGGGCGUCGACCGGCGCACGGGUGAGUAACGCGUAUCCAACCUGCCCACCACUUGGGGAUAACCUUGCGAAAGUAAGACUAAUACCCAAUGAUAUCUCUAGAAGACAUCUGAAAGAGAUUAAAGAUUUAUCGGUGAUGGAUGGGGAUGCGUCUGAUUAGCUUGUUGGCGGGGUAACGGCCCACCAAGGCUACGAUCAGUAGGGGUUCUGAGAGGAAGGUCCCCCACGUUGGAACUGAGACACGGUCCAAACUCCUACGGGAGGCAGCAGUGAGGAAUAUUGGUCAAUGGGCGAGAGCCUGAACCAGCCAAGUAGCGUGCAGGAUGACGGCCCUAUGGGUUGUAAACUGCUUUUAUAAGGGAAUAAAGUGAGCCUCGUGAGGCUUUUUGCAUGUACCUUAUGAAUAGGACCGGCUAAUUCCGUGCCAGCCGCCGCCGUAA